Molecule: long non-coding RNA, 1129 nt
Organism: Apis cerana (Asiatic honeybee)
Lineage: Eukaryota; Metazoa; Arthropoda; Insecta; Hymenoptera; Apidae
Source: RefSeq, a predicted model, not a curated record
UAGAACUUUGAUAGAUGGCACUAGUUAUGUGCAUACGCAUAUGAUGUUCUUAGUAUUGCCUACAAAGCUAUGAACAACGCGAUUCGUUGUGCUUAUCAUUGUUGACGUUAAUUGCUAUAAUUUAAGAAGAAAAAUGGAAUUGUUUUUAUUGCGACUUACGAGAGUGGAUCCAUUCACUUCGCAACUCAACGGUUGAACACUUAGAGUCACCAGAGCUCCAUUUCCUGUGGUGGUAUUCACAGCAAUAUCAUGCGGUAUUUUAACUUGCUUUAACAAUUGUGAAGUAUUCAGAUCGAAGACAAGGAGUUGCGGAGGGCAUACGGAUUGGACAUUAUUAAUGAGACCUGAGUCCAGAACCCACAAUCUGUCACAUAUAUCGAUCUAAAUAUCGAUACGGUGCCAGAAGAGGCCCACCGUUGCCAGUUUUAUUAGUUAUCACAUUCAAAGAAGAGGGCACACCAUUAAACUUCAUUAUAAUGACAAAAGUUUUAUCUACAAAGGAAAACAUGGGAUAUUUCUGUAAUAAUUAAAAAAUGAUAAUAAUUGAAAAAUGAAGAAAUAUUGUGGAGUAAUAUCGUUUAAAAUAAUUUACCACCCCAUUGAUCGGUAUCGAAAAGAUAAUUCAUUGUAUAAUUGUAAUCGCCUGAUUGAAUGGCAGCUUGUCUCUUUUCGUCACUACCGAAAUCGUAAUCAAUAUAUUUCCAUUCGUAAAUGACUUUCAACGAAUUUGUCAAAUUUUUUGAAUGAAUGUCUGUAACACCUUGACAAGCUAUGCCAAGAUACAUCAGCAGCAACCAUCUUAUCAUUUUUCUAAAAGAUAUUUUCUCUGAUCAGAAAGAUAAAAAAUUUUAAUUAAUAUCAGAAAGGCAUACUUGAGAUAUUUUAGUACUGACAAUUAAUUUUAAGGAAUGUAAGCAGUAUAUCUGAACUGCAGCGACUGUUGAAUUAUCACAGUUGGGCAAUAUAUAAGUAGUAAUGACCUAUAUUUUACCUGUAUCUAAAGAUAAAAUGAAUUGUGUUUUUUCAAAAUUUGCGUUUAUGUUGACACGGAAGUAUUUUAAAGUGCAUUUAAAAAAUUCUAAUGUGAUAGGUUAUAAUCUAAAUCUAAUUAAAUGAAAACAAUACAAUA